Molecule: ribosomal RNA, 253 nt
Filed under: uncultured bacterium
Lineage: Bacteria
Description: partial 16S ribosomal RNA
Rfam family: Bacterial small subunit ribosomal RNA
Source: RNAcentral
UACGGGGGGAGCAAGCGUUGUUCGGAUUUACUGGGCGUAAAGGGCGCGUAGGCGGUAGCACAAGUCAGUUGUGAAAUCUCCGGGCUUAACUCGGAAAGGUCAACUGAUACUGUGCGACUAGAGUGCAGAAGGGGCAACUGGAAUUCUCGGUGUAGCGGUGAAAUGCGUAGAUAUCAAGAGGAACACCUGCGGCGAAGGCGGGUUGCUGGGCCGACACUGACGCUGAGGCGCGAAAGCCAGGGGAGCGAACGGG